Syngnathoides biaculeatus (alligator pipefish) is the source of this 824-nucleotide long non-coding RNA. RefSeq lists it as uncharacterized. NCBI's taxonomy places the organism in Eukaryota, Metazoa, Chordata, Actinopteri, Syngnathiformes, Syngnathidae. The record is from RefSeq and is a predicted model, not a curated record. The transcript has 5 exons.
CACUUUCUUGGGGUCGAACUGCGGUCACCUGGCUGUUAUUCAUCAGCGGAGGCACCAAGAGUUUUAAAUUGAACCGCCGGUCUUUCUCCAUUUUUGGUAUCAAGUGCAACGUUUCGGCUGGAUAACGGUCUCACUUUGCAGCAGCCGGUAGUUGAGGCCCAUGCCCAUGAAGAGGAAGAAACUGGAGACGAUCAGCAGGAUCCCGCAGCCCUGAUGGCAAGACGCGCCCCAAGUGAAGCCCGAGACAAGGAUGCGAAAAAAGCAACGACCGGCAUCUCACCGAAAGACGGCGGAGGAAGGUUGGGGGGGAUUUGGGGACGUGCGAGCGACGACGGAUCAUUAGUGAGGAACAUCUGCUGGAGGAGGUUGCCUCUCGUACCUGCUCCACCCUUUAAAGUCCGGCAACACUUUGCACUCUUCGCCGUCCAUGCAGGGAUGCAUCUGGCACCACCACUUCUGUGCAACGAUGGAUGCUGUACACAUUAAGAAUGAGUAAAGCAAAGCAAAGCCGUGCUGGCCGGGAGCCUGUGAAGCUGUCAAAGGGCUUCGCAGAGUGACGAGACAAGUGUCAACACGCAGGAAGCUCCUGUCACGGGAAACUUGAGUUAUGGAUUGAUUCAGUUGUAACGGAGGCCACAAUUGACGUGAUAUUAAAUGACCCAGUCAGGAGGCUGUCUCCUCGGGUGGACGGCCCCGGCGUCAACAGGCGACUGCUGAGUGAAGCGACUGAUUUGAUCUCUAUUUAUUGCCUACGGCUCAAAUAAUCAAAUCAAACUGCGUCAACCCCCCCACCCCCACCCCCCAGUCCCCAUUUCAAAUCUUAU